Molecule: ribosomal RNA, 253 nt
Filed under: uncultured bacterium
Lineage: Bacteria
Description: partial 16S ribosomal RNA
Rfam family: Bacterial small subunit ribosomal RNA
Source: RNAcentral
UACGUAGGGGGCUAGCGUUGUCCGGAUUUAUUGGGCGUAAAGAGCGUGUAGGCGGCCAGGUAGGUCUGGUGUGAAAACUCGAGGCUUAACCUCGAGAUGGCAUCGGAAACCAUCUGGCUAGAGUCCGGAAGAGGAGAGUGGAAUUCCUGGUGUAGCGGUGAAAUGCGCAGAUAUCAGGAAGAACACCAAUGGCGAAAGCAGCUCUCUGGGACGGUACUGACGCUGAGACGCGAAAGCGUGGGGAGCGAACAGG